This 1009-nucleotide small RNA is filed under the name Staphylococcus aureus. RNAcentral's name for it is "Antisense". Lineage: Bacteria; Bacillati; Bacillota; Bacilli; Caryophanales; Staphylococcaceae. The record is from RNAcentral.
AGCAGUUGAUGCUGCUAAAGCAGCCGCUGUUCAAAUUCACAACUUAUUAGGUAUUCAACCUUUUGCACGUUGCUUUGAAAUGAAAGAAGCUUGUUAUGCUGCAACACCAGCAAUUCAAUUAGCUAAAGAUUAUUUAGCAACUAGACCGAAUGAAAAAGUAUUAGUUAUUGCUACAGAUACAGCACGUUAUGGAUUGAAUUCAGGCGGCGAGCCAACACAAGGUGCUGGCGCAGUUGCGAUGGUUAUUGCACAUAAUCCAAGCAUUUUGGCAUUAAAUGAAGAUGCUGUUGCUUACACUGAAGACGUUUAUGAUUUCUGGCGUCCAACUGGACAUAAAUAUCCAUUAGUUGAUGGUGCAUUAUCUAAAGAUGCUUAUAUCCGCUCAUUCCAACAAAGCUGGAAUGAAUACGCAAAACGUCAAGGUAAGUCGCUAGCUGACUUCGCAUCUCUAUGCUUCCAUGUUCCAUUUACAAAAAUGGGUAAAAAGGCAUUAGAGUCAAUCAUUGAUAACGCUGAUGAAACAACUCAAGAGCGUUUACGUUCAGGAUAUGAAGAUGCUGUAGAUUAUAACCGUUAUGUCGGUAAUAUUUAUACUGGAUCAUUAUAUUUAAGCCUAAUAUCAUUACUUGAAAAUCGUGAUUUACAAGCUGGUGAAACAAUCGGUUUAUUCAGUUAUGGCUCAGGUUCAGUUGGUGAAUUUUAUAGUGCGACAUUAGUUGAAGGCUACAAAGAUCAUUUAGAUCAAGCUGCACAUAAAGCAUUAUUAAAUAACCGUACUGAAGUAUCUGUUGAUGCAUAUGAAACAUUCUUCAAACGUUUUGAUGACGUUGAAUUUGACGAAGAACAAGAUGCUGUUCAUGAAGAUCGUCAUAUUUUCUACUUAUCAAAUAUUGAAAAUAACGUUCGCGAAUAUCACAGACCAGAGUAAUCUGUGUAUUUGAAAGACAUUUAAAUAUAACCUAAAAACAGCAGUAAGACAGCUUCUCAUUGAAAUCGUCUUACUGCUGUU